GGGGCAGCAUGAGGACAUCCUUUCACAGAGGCAGCAAAUGAAGAAGAGAAAAAGGAAGCCACCUCAGCACGUUCUAUCUUCUGCUUUGAUCAAGACCAUGCAAAGAGGCUGGAUGAGGCCCAUUUGUGUCCAAAACAGUUGUGGUGCUAGUCCACUGGAGCUGUGCAGCCACACAUGCUGCUUCCCAUCAGGCAGGAGCAGAUAUACGGGAAUUGCUAAGUUAGGGCCUGAACCAAUGAUUGAGCACCUGGUGAACAGACACAGCCAGCCCUGGGAGCACAGGUGAAUUGCUUUAGACCAUCAGCCUCAUGAGAAGCCUCAUUUAAGAGCUGGCUACCACAGAGGAAGAAUAUUUACCUGGAGAUCUCUCCUUUUGGAGUAUCAGAGGAGCCCUGAUCCUUGGGA
Molecule: long non-coding RNA, 405 nt
Filed under: Gallus gallus (chicken)
Lineage: Eukaryota; Metazoa; Chordata; Aves; Galliformes; Phasianidae
Source: RNAcentral